This 460-nucleotide long non-coding RNA is filed under the name Gallus gallus (chicken). Its description in RNAcentral is "lncRNA (ENSGALG00010009165.1)". The record is from RNAcentral. Lineage: Eukaryota; Metazoa; Chordata; Aves; Galliformes; Phasianidae.
UAGAGGAUGGAAAAUACAUGACAGAAUGGACUUCAGAAGUAACAGAGGAAGUCCUUGCUUCUAGAGCUGUCACUGAAGGCAGCAUAUGGCUCUCCUGCAGUCGGGGAAGGAUCCCACAGUGUGACCUAGCUAGCCUCCACACCUCUGAUUCCUGUUACCCCUGCACAGAGGUUACCACUUUCAGCUAGGAGGCUCUGUGCAGCGCCCAUUCCCCGGAGUGCUUAUCUGGCCAUGAGCUGUGAUUGUGUACAUCUGCAGUCAGUCAGUGCUUGGUCUUGAGGAUGAAGACAAAAUCAAAAGACAGCAAGUACGCACAUUUGUGAACAAAUUUUGCCAAGGAUGAAGCACAGAAAGUGUAAAAUUUCAUCAAAAAUCUCUGAUGAGUACCUUGAGACCUCAAGAGUUGCCACCACUGCCAUCACAGCAGACUGACACAUUAGCUUCACAAAAACAAAGCCAA